Meleagris gallopavo (turkey) is the source of this 2855-nucleotide non-coding RNA. Lineage: Eukaryota; Metazoa; Chordata; Aves; Galliformes; Phasianidae. The record is from RefSeq and is a predicted model, not a curated record.
AGCUGAGGGACGGGAUGCCAUCCAGAGACCUGGACAGGCUGAGCAGUGUGCAGCCAGCAGGGCGAGGGAGGGGAUCCUGCCCCUCACCUGGAGCGCUGCGUCCACAGGCGGAGUGCUCAGCACAGCAGAGACGGGGGCCUGUUGGAGAGCGUCCAGAGGAGGGCCGCACAAAGGAUCAGGGAUGGAGCAGCUCCCUACGAGGACAGGCUGAGAGAGCUGGGGCUGUGCAGCCUGGACAAGGGAAGGCUGAGGGAGACCUGGGGGCGGCCUGUCUGUAUCUACGUGGGGCUGUAAGAAAGAUGGGGACAGGCUCUUCUGCAGGGUCUGCUGUGACAGGACAAGAGGAAAUGGUUUCAAACUAAAAGAGGGGAGAAUUAGGCUGGAUGUAAGAAAAAAGGCUUUUAUGAUCAAGGUGGUGAGGCAUCAGAACAGGUUGCCCACACAAAUGGUGGAUACCUGUUCCUGGAGACACUCAAGGUCAGGCUGGAGGGGCUCUGAGCACCUGAUGGAGCUGUAGGCAUCCUUCCUCCUUGUGGGGGAAUCGAUCCAGAUGACCUUCUAUAGUCCCUACUAACUGAACUUAUUCUGUGAUUCUAGGAUUCUAUUCUAUGAUUCUAUGGAGCAUUGGAGUCUCUGGCUCAUUGUUACAGGAAAAUAGCAACCAGAAGUGAGAGCCUACAAGCUGUUUUGCUUCAAGGAGAGCAGGCAGGGCUUCCCCUCCAAACAGAGCCUCCACGGAGCCUAGGUCUGGAUGGUGGGAAAUCCUGACCAGAGCCAGCUCCUGGCUUAUUCCUCUACCUGGUGCCAGCUCAGCGCACCGACCCUCUCAGAGUGGCUGGGAACAUUUCCCUUCCCUACCGGGCACCUCCAGAGCUCCCAGUAUUUCCUCAAACCUGGGACUGCCCGGCAACGACCGUUCCGGAGAAGAUCCCUGCGGCUCCCAGCCCGGACUGGCUCGGCAGAUGGAGCUGCUCCCCAAUGAUGCAGAGGAAUGCUGGGCUUAAAGCAGAGUCCUGCGCUGGGCAAGGAGAUUAUUUCUGCAUUUUCUUUCUGCCGGAUGCGGAAUGAGGGGUUUGUUUCAGUGAGAACUGAACGACUGUGCAGCAAACUGCUCCAUUCCCGCAGGCGGGGGGCUCAGAGGAACGGAAAACCCUAGGAAAUAUUUCUGCUCCAGACGUGAUCUGGACUCGCCUGGCUCUAGGGGGGGUGUUUGCAAAGGCGAUCACAGUGAGACGAGCUAUCAGCUCUCAGUGCAGUAGGCAGCGCAGGGACAUCAGCGCCCAUUCCCCGUGCGCAGACCUCCCGCAGCCUCUGCAGUGGCUGUGUCCCCAGUGGGUCCCUUCGCGCUAAGUCUUGCUGGCUUCGUAGCUAAGCUGUGCGAUAGCCCUGUCCUUCCCUCUCUCCCCUUCUCCGCCUGCAGCGACAGCGGAACCUCUUCUCUCGCAGCAAGCUCCUUGUGGAGGACAGCAGAAUGGCUGAUGUGGCAGCACCCAGUAAACCAGCCCAAAUGAAGCACAAGUAUACCCACGUGGUGGAGUUCAUCUUAGAGAAAUCCCAGCUGGCAGGUGGGUUGGGAGGGCAAAAAGAGGAAGGAAGGAGGAAGAAGAAAACUCAAGGGUGGCAACUCAGGGCUGAGUACACAAAAACAUCUUCAAAGCAAGGAGCUUGUUUUUCAAACACACCAUGGUUUCGCUGGAAACAACCCGAGCUGAGCCGGGAGCGGGGCCAAUCCCAGGGCUGCUGCCAGCUGCGAGCCCUGGCAGCGUGCCCUACUGCGCGUGUAACCCAACCUGCACCCAAACUGCAGGUCCCACACUGAGACCAGGCUGCACCUCUUCGUGGCACUACGACCUUUCUUCUUCCUAUUCUCUGCAGUCCCUUCCCAAAGGAAGGGUUCCGCAACAACAACAUUUGCCCACGAUGCUUUUAUCCGUUCUUGCUCUUUUUCAGGCCAAGCAUUGCUCACCCUGACAGCUUGCUGGGAAAAUGUCCCAGGUCUCCUUUUGGUGACAGGGAGGCUGCUGUGAUCAAUACCAAACACAGUGACCUCUGGUAUUUCUAAUGGCUCCCUGGGCAGCUAAUCAUCUCCAUAUACUUAGGUACUGAUGUCACAGCGGUGCGGGUAAAUAUUUCCAACAUAUAUUGCUGGGGAAUGCUGUGCUGAGCAAGAUGGAUUUCUUUUUUCUUCCCCUCCAUACGCACUGUUCCUGCAAAUCUGGGGUCCUGAGGGUGCAUCAGACCACACAGAUCCCCAGACCUGUGUCAUCUGCUCCAUCUUCUGCCAUUUUUCCUGCCUGCCACUGGAUGCUUUUUCAGGUGCUGGGAUCUUGGCAUCUCUUGAUACGACUGAGCUGUGUAUAGCAUUAGUGUGCAUUUCUCGACAAACUAAUGUUUUUGGCUUUAACAUAGUCCUGGUCUGGCAACGAUUCCAGUCUAACACCUAAUCACAAAUUCUGUGCCUACACAUCUUCCACCCCUUUUGCAGCAUGGACUCUGGCUUGGUGUAAGAUAUGUGCCCUGGGAGUUACAGGACUUUAAUAAGGACAAGAAAUGGCAGAUUGGAAGAAGGGAAAUAUCCUUUUCCCCAGGUGGAAUGAGAUGGGAAUAGAAAAAAUUAAGCAGCAAGGUUCCUAACCAAGGGCUCAUGGAAAGUCAGAUUACCCAUCGCAAAGAAAAACAUGGAAAAAUUCAAAAAGGAGAGGACAAGGAGAUCCAUGGGACCAGAAACUUCACACCAGUGAAGCAGAAGCCAUCAAAGGAGUUGAGGCCCAUGCUGGGGGCCGUCAUGCUGGGCCUCAUCCUGUUCAUCGCCGCGGUGGUGGCCUGGUGCUACUACACGGUGUCCCUGCGGAAGG